RNAcentral lists this ribosomal RNA (623 nucleotides) under uncultured bacterium. Its description in RNAcentral is "bacterial SSU rRNA". It matches the Rfam family "Bacterial small subunit ribosomal RNA", at positions 56 to 726 of the family's 1533-position model. The record is from RNAcentral.
UGCAGUCGAACGGGCUCUUCGGAGCUAGUGGCAGACGGGUGAGUAACGCGUGGGAACCUACCUAUAAGUACGGAACAACACAGAGAAAUUUGUGCUAAUACCGUAUGUGCCCUUUGGGGUAAAGAUUUAUCGCUUAUAGAUGGGCCCGCGUUAGAUUAGCUAGUUGGUGAGGUAAUGGCUCACCAAGGCGACGAUCUAUAGCUGGUCUGAGAGGAUGAUCAGCCACACUGGGACUGAGACACGGCCCAGACUCCUACGGGAGGCAGCAGUGAGGAAUAUUGGACAAUGGGGGCAACCCUGAUCCAGCCAUGCCGCGUGAGUGAUGACGGCCUUAGGGUUGUAAAGCUCUUUCGCUAGGGAAGAUAAUGACGGUACCUAGUAAAGAAGCCCCGGCUAACUUCGUGCCAGCAGCCGCGGUAAUACGAAGGGGGCUAGCGUUGUUCGGAAUCACUGGGCGUAAAGCGCGCGUAGGCGGACUUUUAAGUCAGGGGUGAAAUCCCGGGGCUCAACCUCGGAACUGCCUUUGAUACUGGAAGUCUUGAGUUCGAGAGAGGUGAGUGGAAUACCGAGUGUAGAGGUGAAAUUCGUAGAUAUUCGGUGGAACACCAGUGGCGAAGGCGGCU